GGAAGGAACACGCUCCUGGUGGGGCGGCUGGGCUUCAAACCCAGUGGGUGGCGCCAUGCGUCGCCGGGUAGGUUCGACUCCUGCUUCCUUCCGCCA
RNAcentral lists this transfer RNA (96 nucleotides) under Rhodoferax sp. BAB1. RNAcentral's name for it is "tRNA-Sec". It matches the Rfam family "Selenocysteine transfer RNA". The record is from RNAcentral. Lineage: Bacteria; Pseudomonadati; Pseudomonadota; Betaproteobacteria; Burkholderiales; Comamonadaceae.